CUUUCACCGACAACGACCUAGUGCAUUCCAUCUCCGCCAAGUGAACCCGCGGCCAGUUGCCUGUGACAAGCCGUUGUAACGUUUUUAUUUUGCGUUCUCGCUGUAUUUCGUCGUCUGACCCGACGGUGCGUUUCGUCCGAGUGUAGUGCGACGCCUAUUCGAUACGUUUCGAAUACGAGGUUGCUUGUUGCGGAGUACGUUGGCCGCGUUGUGUCGUCGCACCCAUUGUAUCGUGUCCCGUCGUCCCGUUGGUGGGACUACCAUCGUGCCUGGUGAACGCGUCGAAAGUCGGACGGAUUCACUUUGCGGCCGCCGUUUGUGUGUUGCGUGCCAGACUCCCCGUUAUUUGUAUCGCUCGACGUUGUGUGUCUUUUCCGUGCGGUAUAUUAAUCGUUCCAACGACGGUUGUCCCAGUUCGCCUCCGACGAGGGAUUUUACCUACCACGGUCAGAUAUUUCGGUGGUAAAUAAUCCCGGAGAG
Cinara cedri is the source of this 480-nucleotide non-coding RNA. The record is from the annotation of a GenBank genome assembly. Lineage: Eukaryota; Metazoa; Arthropoda; Insecta; Hemiptera; Aphididae.